AUAGCCUGCAUGUCUAAGUAUAAGCAAUUAUACCGCGAAACUGCGAAUGGCUCAUUAUAUAAGUUAUCGUUUAUUUGAUAAUACUUUACUACUUGGAUAACCGUGGUAAUUCUAGAGCUAAUACAUGCUGAAAAUCCCGACUUCGGAAGGGAUGUAUUUAUUAGAUUAAAAACCAAUGCCACUCGGGGCUCUCUGGUGAAUCAUGAUAACUAGUCGAAUCGACAGGCCUUGUGCCGGCGAUGGCUCAUUCAAAUUUCUUCCCUAUCAACUUUCGAUGUUUGGGUAUUGGCCAAACAUGGUGGCAACGGGUAACGGAGGGUUAGGGCUCGACCCCGGAGAAGGAGCCUGAGAAACGGCUACUACAUCCAAGGAAGGCAGCAGGCGCGCAAAUUACCCAAUCCCGACACGGGGAGGUAGUGACAAUAAAUACUGAUACAGGGCUCUUUUGGGUCUUGUAAUCGGAAUGAGUACAAUUUAAAUCCCUUAACGAGGAACAAUUGGAGGGCAAGUCUGGUGCCAGCAGCCGCGGUAAUUCCAGCUCCAAUAGCGUAUAUUAAAGUUGUUGUGGUUAAAAAGCUCGUAGUUGAACCUUGGGCCUGGCUGGCCGGUCCGCCUCACCGCGUGCACUGGUCCGGCCGGGCCUUUCCCUCUGCGGAACCCCAUGCCCUUCACUGGGUGUGGCGGGGAAACAGGACUUUUACUUUGAAAAAAUUAGAGUGCUCAAGGCAGGCCUAUGCUCGAAUACAUUAGCAUGGAAUAAUAGAAUAGGACGUGUGG
This 777-nucleotide ribosomal RNA is filed under the name Trichoderma longibrachiatum. RNAcentral describes it as "SSU rRNA". It matches the Rfam family "Eukaryotic small subunit ribosomal RNA", at positions 45 to 834 of the family's 1831-position model. The record is from RNAcentral. Lineage: Eukaryota; Fungi; Ascomycota; Sordariomycetes; Hypocreales; Hypocreaceae.